This is a long non-coding RNA of Octopus sinensis (East Asian common octopus), 307 nucleotides long. RefSeq lists it as uncharacterized. The record is from RefSeq and is a predicted model, not a curated record. NCBI's taxonomy places the organism in Eukaryota, Metazoa, Mollusca, Cephalopoda, Octopoda, Octopodidae. The transcript has 3 exons.
CCACGUCCCCGAAUGGCAAUUCCGCCGGCGACGCUGCCGCUCGCCGCGCGAACGCGACGGGCGGACGGCGAACGCCGAGCUAAGGCAUGCGCCUUGAGGUUGAGACGCUUUUGGAAAACAACUCGGGUCCGGCUACGGUUCCGGCUUAGAGGCGUUCAGCCGUUAUCGCUCAGAGGCAGCCUGGCACCACCGCUCUAUCGAGCGAGCGCGCAAACCGUUGCUCUGAUCCCGCGGUUCCUCUCGUACUGGACGAGAUAGCCGUAGCCGAGUUGACGUUGCCGACGCCCGCCUAAGGCCGCGCGCUAAC